RNAcentral lists this long non-coding RNA (5305 nucleotides) under Panax ginseng (ginseng). RNAcentral's name for it is "long non-coding RNA (PGIN_LNC009402)". The record is from RNAcentral. Lineage: Eukaryota; Viridiplantae; Streptophyta; Magnoliopsida; Apiales; Araliaceae.
UUGAACAAGUUCCUGCGGUCAUCUUUUAGCAUUUACAGGUUGUUCAGAGUUCCUCAUCUCAAGACAUGUGAAAUUUAGAAUACCAUAAUGCCUGGAGAGCAUCCUUGCUAUGGGUCGAUACCCAUCUCUAUUGUUCAAGUUGUAGAAACCUGCAGUUAGCUCUGCAGCAUGACUGUCAUCUUUAUACCUCCAAUGGAUUCCAGAAACCUGUUUUGGGAUGGAAGUAAGAUAUAGUUGAGUCACAUCGGAUGGUAAAAGGCUUUAAUUUUUUGUUAAGUUGGAUAAUACCAUUUUCCGUGAUUUACCUUAGCUGCUAACUUGACUUUACAACCCAGGAAAGCUUUGUUUGCUUCAUCAAGGAUCUGAUCAUCAUGGCCCAGCAACUAGUUAGAGUACCAAGUCAAGAAAAACUUUCCCUUUUCAGUUAAGUACCCUUUCGAUCCAAAGAACUCUGUCGCUCCAGGUGUGUCAUUAUAUUUUCCUUCAUUAUCUGGCAAAGCCCAUUCAGGGUGCCCUUCUAUUGUUGCUGCUUCUUUAAAAUCUGCUUUAAGAUAUUUGUCAUAGCACUGCAAUAUUUGUAUAGCAUAAUUUGUUAAAUUUCCUAUCAAUUAAAGACUAGAAGACAUUCAACUGACCGAGCCAGGGGACAAAUGGUUCAUUGUGUCAUCAAUAUCUGGUCUCACCUGAAAUUCUCCUAUACCAGGAAAUACCCAUCCUUGAGUUUCUGGAUAAGAGGGAUAUCUGAGCUCCCCUGCAGGACCUAGCCCUACUUCAAUAUCUGUCAAGAGCUCAGCUUCCAAAAAGUCCGCCAUGAUCUCUCUAAAGCUCUUCGUGUAGUCACUGUAGAUCUAAAUACAUCAAGAAAUUACCAUUAUCGGUUUCGAAAGCCUUCCUGCAGUGACUGGGUACUGAAAGCAUGGAUUUUGUUUCAAUAUGUUUUACAAUAUGAUAUCACACAGGCAGAAUUUUAGAACAAGAUGUUGGUAUAUACUAUUCAAAGGGGGGGAAAAGGGGUCAAAAUUCUAACCUCCACUGCAGUUCGACCUGCAAAGAGAGGUAGGUUAUCCACACCAAGUGUGAGGUACUCUUCGUCUCUGUUACCUGCCGGAUUAGUGUAGAAGAUGUCAGGAUCCUUUUCUCCAACCUCAAGCACCCACUUGGGAAGCGGGAUGUUAACAAUAUCUCCAAUAUUCCCAUGGCAUUGGUGGAACGACAUAACAAUUGUAAUUUUAAUCCACAUUGUUGAACAAGUUGAAACAAGCUUCUAUAAUCACUCCAAUCAUACUGCUUAGGGCCUUUGGAUUUGACAAGCCCCCACCAAACAUCAACCAUGACCCCAUCGACUCCUGCUGCUCUCAGCUCCUUGAGCUGCUUCUCUAGUCCAGCUUUAUCUUCUAAAACAUUGUCAUUUGAAAUGACUCCCAACUGUUGUCACCAUGUAAAACGAGAAAUGAAGAACAUAAUUUAGAUUAGUACUACACAAGUAUUUGUUUAUGCAUGCUUAUAAAUAGAUCUUUUAGUUACUUACCUGGAGCAUUACAUAGAUGGGCACAUAGUUUGCUAACAUCUUUUCCUCAUCACUGAGUGGAGCUGGAGACUGCAUUUUCUGAAUGCAAAAAAUAAAGCGAUGGAAGUUUUAGUUUUCUAUUUGAGUAUUGACAAUUCUUUUAUAGAUAGUUCAGCAUGGUUUAUGGAAUUCUCAUCUUUACAAGGCAUCAUAGUAAUGUGAUCCAACUGCCAUGUGGUGUCAUCUGUUAACUACUCCCUCCGUCUUAUAGUUAUAGGCUGAUUUCUUUUGGCACAUAGUUUAAGAAAAUCAAUUUAAGUGGCAAUUUUAACAUAAAUUUUCCAUAUAUACCCCUUAAUAUGGAAUUAAUGAAUAAGUUAAUUAUUCCUUAUUUAUCACACUGGAACUUUCAACUUCAUUGAUUGACGUGUUAAAGUCCAUAACCAUAGAACUUUAACCAAAGAGAAUAUAACAACAUUAAAUGUGGUGAUAAAAAUAAUGACAUUGAAUGUUGUUUCUUCAAAAAAAGAGUAAUGGUUGAAUAUUUAUUAUAAGGGCAUAAAAGUAAAACAAUGAACCAACUAAAUUUUAUAAAUAGUAAGUAGCCUAUAUAUUGGGACAUCUCAAAAUGGAAAAUCAGCCUAUAACUAUGGGAUGGAGGGAGUAUAAACCAAAUGAUUUGUGCAGUGACUGUGUGGACAACUUCUGGGUUCUAAUAAGAUCAUGCUCUCAUUUACAUUUUGUCCUUCUAGUAUAGGGUUUCCUACAGAAAGCGUUGUAUCAUUUUAUGGAUAUCCUUAGAUAAAUCCCUCAAAUGAUUUUGGAUAUUCAAAAGAGGGGUGAUAAAUUUUGUGGGGUCUCAGAAUAACAUCAUAUUUAAUGAGUUAAUAGCCUUAAUUAACUAGCUUUAUGAUUAUAUUUAUUAAUGUUUUUACUAAUGAGGACCUGCUCCAACCACACGUCAUAUUGGACUCUCGGUUACUCCAUUAAUCCUGAGUGUGUUUAGUACCCGUCCCACACAUGCUAGACAAUUAUAGAUACAAGGCAGAAGAAUUGUUAUCUGAUCUCCUCACUUGGCUCUCUGGGCCACAUAUUAUGCUAUUGGUAGGAGUAGUAACUAGUAACAAUGAGAAAGACUAGUUACCUCUGGUUCACUGGUAGAAACCUCAGUUACCGUAGCUUGAGGAUUUCUAACCAUUCUGUGGGUGCUGAAUGUGAGACUAGGCCUAAAUUGUGCCGUUGGUGGCUCAAUUUGUCAGUGCUAAUUGGGAAAAUUUAGGAUGGUGCAGUCCAAUCUUUGGUGGCAAGCCACCCAGUUUUUGAGUAAAUGGUGGUGCUUGCCAUGGUGACAGCUUACUAUUGUUACUUUGGAGAAUUGUUAUCGAUGCGUUUGAAUCAAGACGCCAUGGAAAUAUAGAGGAAGGAAGAAGCAGGCAAACACAUGCAAGAUAGAGAGAGAGAGAGAGAAAUCUGUUUUGUUUUUUGUGAUUCUGAUUGUGAUUUUUUUUUUCUGGUUGUAUGCAAUGCAUAUGUAUUUGUGGUUUUGGAGUGAAAAACAAGUGGUUGGUGAUUAUUUCUCAAAUAUGCAAACUUCAAAUAGCAAUAUUGUAUAUGAAUAUUAUUAGUCGUCCUCUUUUUUCCCCUUAAUUCCUUGAACCAUCGUAAUCGGUUCUUUGCUUGGAUGUGUUACUUUCAUGGUAGUUUUACUUUUUCUGUUUUUUGUUUAAUUUUAACGGUGUCUGAAAGAAGAAACUAUAUAAAUGUAGCAAAGGAGACGAGAUGAUCUAAUGUUUAUUGUACUGAGUUACUGACCUUUCAGAUAUAUAUACAAUAAAUGAACACUUAACUGAUGGAAAGAAUGGAGUAGUAUUCUGUAUUCAUCACAUGAGGAAAUAGGCCCAUUGACAUUGAAUUUUGUCGUUUGGGGCAGGCAGCAGUUUUAACUGAAAUAUGUAUGUAUGUAUGUAUAUUCACUUAUAUUCUUCUUGAUGAUAGAAUUCACAAGUAACCACGCACCAACAAGGACCGAAUACAAAUAAAUUAUCCUCUAACUAUGUUUAAUACUCCUGUAGAAUAGAGAUGUGCCCUUAAUUGGCUUCACGUGCCACAUUCUUACCUUCCCUUUUUCCAAACAACAUGUCCGAGACAAAAAAAAAAAUUUCAAGACAAACCAUGUACUACUCCACGAUAUUAACUGAAACUCAUUACAUUAUUCAGUCGUCUAAUUAUACAUACACGACUCCUGAAACCAUGAAACAGCAUACACUUCAACAUAGCAGCACAAAUUCAAAUCCCACAUUCCCAUGGCCAUGGCGACAAAACAUACUCCCACUAGUCUGCCACCUUUAUUAAAUAUAGGUAAAAAAAACUCAAAACAUCGCAUAACAUUACGUGCAUUUAUUUUGGCAUUAUUCGGCUGGCUCAGCACUGAAACGUGUACAUACAUACAUAUAUAUAUAUAUAUAUAUAUAAGUGAUGUUCAUCUGAUCAAGCAGAUUGUUCGGGUGGAUCAAGAACUUUCAUGUCUGUUUCUUCAUCAAAUGGGAAUGGCUUGAUGGGUUCAGAUGCUUCCAAAAGCUCCUCAAUCGGUAUCUUUGGUUUUGACCGUGCCAAAGGGACGACCUUGCUAUACAGAUUCGGAUCUGGACAGUAAUUCUGGAAGACAAUAUAUGUAUACUGUCGUAAGAUUUAUUAUUUGAAAGCGGGUCUUAGAAUAUCCUUCCACCACCAACAAUUAUGGAGUAUUUACAUUAAGGUUUCGUACCUGAUCAGCAUGCAGUUUUUUCACAAAUAUUUUGAAGAUCUUGAAAUUAUCUUCUUCUAAUAGAUCAUCUGAUAAACGAAGGUACGUCAAACCUGCCAUCUUUAGUAUUUGUGGGCGUCUGUUCACACCAUUUGGCCUAACAUUUAGAAGGAUUUGAUUGUAGGAUGUGCUAUCAUAUCUUGAGAGUGCAUUUUCACCGGCAACUUCGAUAUUCUCUGUCCAGCCAUCGCUCAACACCUAUACAUACAUAAUAUACAUGUCAACAACAUCAUCAGCCACCCCUGUUUUAAAUUUAAUUCUGUAUUUUUGUUAUUCUAUAGAUAAAUGAAAUUUAAUGAUUAUGCAAAGAUCUUUUCUAGUACAGAACAACUUUCCAGGCUACACUAGGGUGUUCCCCUAGUAUUUAACGAUUUUCUUCUUUUUAGGCAAGUGUUCUGUUUUAUAUUUUCUAGCAUAACCUGUUGAACAAGUUCCUGAGGUGCACUUUUAGCAUUUUCAGGUUGUUCGGAGUCCCUCAUCUCAAGACAUGUGAAAUUUAAAACGCCAUAGUGCCUGGAGAGCAUCCUUGCUAUGGGUCGAUAUCCAUCUCUAUCGUUCAAGUUGUAGAAUCCUGCAGUUAGCUCUGCAGCAUGACUCUCAUCUUUGUACCACCAAUGAAUUCCGGAAACCUGUUUCAGAAUAAAAGUAGCAAGUAUGUUUUUUUUAGUCCUAUUGGCAGGUAAAGGCUUUGGUUUUUAAUUUGUUAAUUUAAAUAAUUGUCAUCUAUGUUCUAUGAUUUUUACCUUGGCUGCUAACUUGACUUUAUAACCGAAGAAAGCAUUGUUGGCUUCCUCAAGGAUCUGAUCGCCAUGGCUCAGCAACUUGUUAGAAUACCAAGUCAAGAAAAACUUUCCCUUUUCAGUUAAGUACCCUUUGGAUCCAAAGAACUCUGUCUGUUCAGGUGUGUCAUUGUAUUUUCCCGCAUUAUCUGGCAAAUCCCAUUCAGGGUGCCCAGCCUUUGUCGCUGCUUCUUUGAAAUCUGCUUUAAGAUAUUU